CUCAGAAAGCUUGAGGUUGGUCGGUCCCGCAGAUGUCAUGGCGGAGAUGGUGAAGAGGUAGUCCCUCUGAGAGCUGUCCCGGACGAGAAACGUCCCCUCCGACGUGUCCUGCAGGAUCUCCUUGGCUUCAUUGGCUGUCAGGCUGCCCCAAUACCAGCCUGCUUCCAAGAAAAGAAGACACAGAGAUGGUCAUGCAUAUCCGCUUCCACUGUAUCUGUUUCAGUCGUUUGCUUGUGUAACAUGAGACACAUAACUCGUUCCUCUAAGGACACGCACACAAAAACCGACACAGCUACAUAGUCAUAAACUGGCUCUUCUGUGUUUUUUUUUGUCAGGCAUUUUCUGAAUAGAUGAAUAAGAAGUCUCAGCACGUCACGUUCAACCUCGCAGCUCUGUUUCCCCUGAUGCACAGGGCUAAAUCGCAUCUGAUAAUGCAGCAAAAAGCAAGCACUUCCGAAAUGAGCUGUUAAAUAAACGUUAAUUGAAAACAUUAUGGCAAAUGUGGCACAGCAAGACUAAACAACGCUGCGAAAAAUGUCAACAAAGAUGACGUAUCUUUCCUGAAAUACUGAACUAGACCAUCUGACUGUUUCGUCUUGGGAGUUUAUGAAAUUUUUUAAAGGCAGAUGUUUGGCAGAUGUUCCCAAAACGCCUCAGAAUGUUUUGCUCCACAAGAAAACAAACAUAAAGUGGACAUUUUGUAGAAUCAUUAUCACUGUAUGUUGUUUUUUUCUCUUAAUAUAAUGUGCAAUGGAAUAAAUUAAAAACAGAAAGGCAUGCGGUAGAGAUGUGAGGACAAAUGUUCCAGCCAGGACAGGAAACAUAACAAUGGCUUUAUAGACAUGAUAAUGUCACUCUUUUGUUGCAAAAUAGCAAAACAAUAAAUGUAAACAGUAAAAGCUUUGUCAGGAAAUUC
Molecule: long non-coding RNA, 916 nt
Filed under: Danio rerio (zebrafish)
Lineage: Eukaryota; Metazoa; Chordata; Actinopteri; Cypriniformes; Danionidae
Description: si:dkey-202b22.8 (ENSDARG00000097434.2)
Source: RNAcentral